CCUACGGGAGGCAGCAGUGAGGAAUAUUGGUCAAUGGCCGGAAGGCUGAACCAGCCAUGCCGCGUGAAGGUCAGUGCCCUAUGGGCGUUAAACUUCUUUUGUGCGGGAGCAAUAAUGGUCACGUGUGGCCAGACGAGAGUACCGUACGAAUAAGCAUCGGCUAACUCCGUGCCAGCAGCCGCGGUAAUACGGGGGAUGCAAGCGUUAUCGGAAUUACUGGGCGUAAAGCGCACGUAGGCUGUAUGUCAAGUCAAGGGUGAAAUCCCACGGCUCAACCGUGGAACUGCCUUUGAAACUGGCAAACUGGAGUAUGUGAGAGGGUGGCGGAAUUCCUGGUGUAGGAGUGAAAUCCGUAGAUAUCAGGAGGAACAUCAGUGGCGAAGGCGGCCGCCUGGCACAAAACUGACGCUGAGGUGCGAAAGCGUGGGUAGCAAACAGGAUUAGAUACCCGUGUAGUC
RNAcentral lists this ribosomal RNA (458 nucleotides) under uncultured bacterium. RNAcentral's name for it is "partial 16S ribosomal RNA". It matches the Rfam family "Bacterial small subunit ribosomal RNA", at positions 338 to 795 of the family's 1533-position model. The record is from RNAcentral.